RNAcentral lists this ribosomal RNA (422 nucleotides) under uncultured bacterium. Its description in RNAcentral is "bacterial SSU rRNA". It matches the Rfam family "Bacterial small subunit ribosomal RNA", at positions 355 to 774 of the family's 1533-position model. The record is from RNAcentral.
UAAGGAAUAUUGGACAAUGGAGGCAACUCUGAUCCAGCCAUGCCGCGUGAAGGAAUAAGGCCCUAUGGGUUGUAAACUUCUUUUAGACGGGACAAAACCCCUUUACGUGUAAAGGGUUGAUGGUACUGUCAGAAUAAGCAUCGGCUAACUUCGUGCCAGCAGCCGCGGUAAUACGAAGGAUGCAAGCGUUAUCCGGAAUUAUUGGGUUUAAAGGGUGCGUAGGCGGACUAAUAAGUCAGUGGUGAAAGCCUGCAGCUAAACUGCAGAAUUGCCAUUGAUACUGUUAGUCUUGAGUACAGUUGAGGUAGGCGGAAUGUGUCAUGUAGCGGUGAAAUGCUUAGAUAUGACACAGAGCACCGAUUGCGAAGGCAGCUUGCUAAGCUGUAACUGACGCUGAGGCACGAAAGCGUGGGGAGCAAACA